ACGGAGGGGGCGAGCGUUGUCCGGAAUUACUGGGCGUAAAGGGUGCGCAGGCGGUUUUUUAAGUCAGAUGUGAAAUACUCGGGCUUAACCUGGGGGGUGCAUUUGAUACUGGCAGGCUUGAAUACAGGUGAGGAGAGUGGAAUUCCUGGUGUAGCGGUGAAAUGCGUAGAUAUUAGACAGAACAUCGGUGGCGAAGGCAGCUUUCAGAACUGUAACUGACGCUGAUGCACGAAAGUGUGGGGAGCAAACAG
This 251-nucleotide ribosomal RNA is filed under the name uncultured prokaryote. Its description in RNAcentral is "partial 16S rRNA". It matches the Rfam family "Bacterial small subunit ribosomal RNA", at positions 525 to 775 of the family's 1533-position model. The record is from RNAcentral.